RNAcentral lists this ribosomal RNA (159 nucleotides) under Olegblumia demissa. RNAcentral's name for it is "5.8S ribosomal RNA". It matches the Rfam family "5.8S ribosomal RNA". From Rfam's summary of the family: 5.8S ribosomal RNA (5.8S rRNA) is a component of the large subunit of the eukaryotic ribosome. It is transcribed by RNA polymerase I as part of the 45S precursor that also contains 18S and 28S rRNA. Functionally, it is thought that 5.8S rRNA may be involved in ribosome translocation. Lineage: Eukaryota; Fungi; Ascomycota; Lecanoromycetes; Teloschistales; Teloschistaceae. The record is from RNAcentral.
AAAACUUUCAACAACGGAUCUCUUGGUUCUGGCAUCGAUGAAGAACGCAGCGAAAUGCGAUAAGUAAUGUGAAUUGCAGAAUUCAGUGAAUCAUCGAAUCUUUGAACGCACAUUGCGCCCUUUGGUAUUCCAAAGGGCAUGCCUGUUCGAGCGUCAUUA